AUUCCAGCUCCAAUAGCGUAUAUUAAAGUUGUUGCAGUUAAAACGCUCGUAGUCGGACGUUGGCGGGCGCCUCGAGUCGGCCUCACGGUCGAUCUUGUUGGCGACCGCCUUUGUGGAGGGGGGCUUAGGUCGGUGCUUUAUUGUCAUCCCUUUGUCGCUGCCACCGUUUACUGUGAAAAAAUUAGAGUGUUCAAAGCGGGCGUUUGCCAUGAAUACAUUAGCAUGGAAUAAUAGAAUAGGACCUGGUCCUGUUUUGUUGGUUUGUGAGUAUCAGGUAAUGAUUAAGAGGGACGGUUGGGGGCAUUUGUAUUCCGGCGUCAGAGGUGAAAUUCUUGGAUUGCCGGAAGACAAACAGCUGCGAAAGCGUCUGCCAAGGACGUUUUCAUUG
Molecule: ribosomal RNA, 388 nt
Filed under: Ceramium sp.
Lineage: Eukaryota; Rhodophyta; Florideophyceae; Ceramiales; Ceramiaceae
Description: partial small subunit ribosomal RNA
Rfam family: Eukaryotic small subunit ribosomal RNA
Source: RNAcentral